Molecule: long non-coding RNA, 2867 nt
Organism: Macrobrachium nipponense
Lineage: Eukaryota; Metazoa; Arthropoda; Malacostraca; Decapoda; Palaemonidae
Exons: 3
Source: RefSeq, a predicted model, not a curated record
GUUUAACGAAUUGUAUGUCAAGCGUUGAAAAGCAGACAAUUUGUUGACAAUCGACGUCUCUCAGCCAUCAUAUAUAUCCCCGUUUCCUCUUAAAAACUCCUAGUUCCGACCUGAAGACUUUCCUGUGAUCACGAGAUUCUUGAUGGAGUUCAGAAAAGGGUAACCCUCUCCCCCCCUCAUUCAGGGAGAGGAAAAUUGAAGCCUAGAUCAUAAUACAACGGGGGCGCACUCUCUACACCGAGGUGAACUCAUAAGGCUAAAUUUUCAGGCAAAUGGGGCAACGGCCUUAUAAAGAAGAUGACGAAGAAUAAAAAAAGAAGAUAUAUCAAGCACUACUACCCGGGGAUUUGGAAGGUCUCCUUUGACGAAAAGAUAAUGAAAGCCGCCGAUCAGAAAGCAUCCAAGAUGGCGGCUGCAGACGGGGAUAUAUGGGUCCCGAGAUCGCCCUUACAAGUAAGUAGGAUGCUCCAAUCACGAUAGUCCUACGACCGUAACUAUCACCGGACCCAGCUGUCCAAUUCGAGUUCAGAGUGACUCAUCCGGCCCAGUGCCUUGGGUCAAGCUAAAACCCUACAAGCCUUUCAAUAGUGGACUCAUACUCCAGACAAGUCCCAAACUCACCCACGUAACCAAACUCGUACCACAGCCUUGUGCGAUCAGCAGUUCCAGUUGCACUCUACUUAUUCCCUUCAUAGCUUCCUCGACCAUCAUCCCACUGGCUCAUACUACAACAAACAUCAGGUCUACUGACAUACCAGUUAAUAAUAGUAAUAAUAAGUUUUAAUUAUCAACUCAAGGCCAUAUGCAUGGAAUAUGCAAAGAAUAGACAAUAACAUACACAGUCUAGAUACAAAAGAUAACAUGAUAAGAAGAAAAAAAAUUAAUUUGCAAUAUGCACCCUGGCUGAGGUAGUAUAAAUGAUGGUAAUCAAAACUAUGGUAAUAACCGUAACAAAAUUGAGAACAAUGAAAAACUGAAUGUAGGAAAUCUAUUUUGAUUAUAAUCACAGUAUUAAUGAAAAAUGAAAAAUACUAGUAAUAACAAUAUUCGUAGCAUUAUAAUGACAGUGACAGAUUGUGCAGAUGGCACUUUGCAAAAACAGAGAUUAAGUCAUUUAGGGAGCAAAUGCCGCAUUUUCCCAUCUUCCCCACAAUUUAGAUCUUCGUGCCUCACUACUUAGGAUGCUUUGUAUGAGCGAAUUGCUGCUGUUUCACGGUCGGGUGAUCAGACUGGACAUUGUUCGCCUUAAAGUGAUUUUUAAGUUGUUCAGGUGGUUUUUUUGUGAACAUCUGUGUGGCGGAGUGGUAGUAAGGAGUGUUUGCGAGGCGUCUCAAAAUGUCAUUGUGAACAAUAUUGAUACGUCUCAUAGUCUCUCGGGUGUACUUCGUCCACAGGGAGCACCCAUAGAUAUUGUAGCAAUACGAGCAGAGGAACAGCAGUUUCAAGUCUCAGUGACAGAAGGCAAACCUCCGUGCAGUCAUGUUGCCAGUUGUACAUAGUUUACGACGCCUCUGUUCUAUGUCUGCCAUAUCUUAAGGUCGUCCAUGAUAAUGUGACCCAAAUACGGGAAAUUCGUGCACGAAUUCCAGCCAGUGGUUUCUGAGGAAAAUUUGUGAUUCUGCAAUAUGCUUAAGCGAUCUCGGGGGCAGCGACAUGCACUGGGUUGUGGUUUCAUUGUACAGGAUAUCAAAUUCCUCUGGAUAUUGGCGGCAAGUGUUCAUGAGCCAUUUGAGGCCUUGCACUGAUGGGGAAAUCAGAGCCAUAUCGUCAGCGUAGUAGAGGUUAUUUAUAAUUGUUUCAUUGACAGUACAUCCGAUUGUGAGUGAGUUCAGUUUGAUAUUCAGGGCAUCUGUGUACGUGUUAAACAGGUAUGGAGAGAUAAUGCUCAUUGCCCCCCUUUUAGGGAGCAGAAGGUGUAUGACAAUACGUUACUCCAUUUGACACAGAAUUGCCGUGUGGAAAAUACAUUUGACGCCCAAAUUCCUGGUGGCUUUCGUAUUCUCGGGGACGAACGAUGCGGUAAUGCGGAAUGCUUAUAUGAAAACACCCAAUGUGCCAAAAGAACUGUAUUUACAAUUUGAUCCAGUGUCUGUAAUUGUGGUUCCCAUUCCUAAUCAACUUCUCCAUUCCCAUUCCUAAAUCCUCAGUCUCUUUGAAUUUGUUUUCGCAAGUUCCUAUCCAACUGAAUUGUGACCUAUUGCUGUGACAUAAUUAUUCCGUGAUGUGUUAUAGUCAUAUUUUAAUAAGUGAUUUAGUUGUGCACUUGGCAAUAAGCUCUGAGUAAAUAUUUUGCUUGAAACAGUGUAAAAUUGAGUAAGGUUUUGCCUUGCACUUGCAACUCAAAGCAUAAAGUAAAUUCCUUACAAUAUUCUUAACCCCAGUCGCUACAACUCUGAACAUCUUGCUGAUUUACCAGCAGUGCUGUUAUGUCUACCUGAGUGCCCAGCAACAGUGUUAAACAGAAACAAUUGCCAAUUGCACAUUUUAAGUAAUCAUAGAUGCUAUUUUGAGUGGUGCUUUUACUCCUGCUGUUCUGUGUCAGACCCAUAAAAGGAAUUCCCGUUUUACUUUUUCAUGUUAACCUGUUGUGUCACUAGUUAGUGCUCAUAACUCUGUUUAAUUUAGCCUGCAUGCCAUGAGGUUCAAUAGCAAACCCUGAAGCGCCUCAGUGGCAUGGUUGGUAUGGUCCUUGCUUGUCACCUCGGUGGCCGCGAGUUCGAUUCUUGAGCAUUCCAUUGAGGAGUCAGAGAUGUGUAUUUCUGGUGAUAGAAGUUCACUCUGACCCUGAUCCCGUUGCUGAAUAACCACUGGUUCCAUGCACGUAAAAACACCAUAAAAACAAUCAAACAAACAAUAGUAACCCCUGU